CAUCCCCUCGCCACCAACCUGCGCUGGUGCACGCACGUCCAGCAACGCCGCGGACCUUGUCCCCCCCGUGCAACCUUUGCCACCUCUUGUGCAAGCCCUGCAGCGCCCUGAGCAGCCCCCGCUGCAACCCCCGCUGCCUGGGCCGCGCUUUGGGCCUGGCAUUGCUCUGUGCACCCUUUGCAUGCCUGCUUGCACAUUUGCAUUGCUCUGCAUGCUCUUUGCAUGCUCGGUUUUUGCUCUGCCUGCUCUUUGCAUACUCAUUUUCUUGCUCUGCAUGCUCUUUGCAUGCUCGGUUCUUGCUCUGCAUGCUCUUUGCAUGCUCUCUUUGGGCCUUGCAUUGCCCUGCACACUCUUUGCACGCCUGCUUGCACAUUUGCAUUGCUCUGCGUGCUGUUUGCAUGCUCAGUUCUUGCUCUGUGUGCUCUUUGCAUGCUCUCUUUGGGCUUUGCAUUGCUCUGUGUGCUCUUUGCAUGCUCGGUUCUUGCUCUGCGUGCUCUAUGCAUGCUCAGUUUUUGCUCUGCUUGCUCUUUGCGUGCUCUCUAUGGGCUUUGUGUGGCUCUGUGUGCUCUUUGCAUGCUCGGUUCUUGCUCUGCAUGCUCUUUGCAUGCUCUCUUUGAGUUUUGCAUUGCUCUGUGUGCUCUUUGUAUGCUCAUUUUUUGCUCUGCGUGCUCAUUGCAUGCUCAGUUCUUGCUCUGCCCACUCUUUCCUUGCUCUCUUUGGGCCUUGCAUUUCUCUGCGCACCCUUUGCACUCCUUGCAUGCUCUUUCUCCUUGCUGCAAGCUUUGCAAUCCUUGCAUGCUCCUUCUCCUUCUUGCAAGCUUUGCAGUCCUUGCACGCUCUCCCUGCACGUUGCAAGCUUUGCACGGUGUUCUGCUUGUGGGCUGCAAUCGUUGCAGUCCUUGCAUGCUCCUUGCUAUUGCUGCAAGCUUUGCAAUGCUUGCAUGCUCCUUCCACUUGUUGCAAGCUUUGCAAUCCUUGUAUGCUUCUUCUUCUUGCAAGCUUUGCAAUCCUUGCACGCUUCUCCUUGCUGCA
This 1032-nucleotide long non-coding RNA is filed under the name Numida meleagris (helmeted guineafowl). RNAcentral describes it as "lncRNA (ENSNMEG00000000954.1)". Lineage: Eukaryota; Metazoa; Chordata; Aves; Galliformes; Numididae. The record is from RNAcentral.